UACGUAGGUGGCAAGCGAUACUCGGAAUCACUAGGCGUAAAGCGCAGGUAGGCGGUUGGGUAAGUCUUUUGUGAAAGCUCCUGGCUUAACUGGGAGAGGUCAAGGGAAACUACCCGGCUAGAGCGUGGCAGAGGAAACUGGAAUUCCCGGUGUAGCGGUGAAAUGCGUAGAUAUCGGGAGGAAUACCUAUGGCGAAAGCAGGUUUCUGGGCCAUCACUGACGCUGAUCUGCGAAAGCUAGGGGAGCAAACAGG
Molecule: ribosomal RNA, 253 nt
Filed under: uncultured bacterium
Lineage: Bacteria
Description: partial 16S ribosomal RNA
Rfam family: Bacterial small subunit ribosomal RNA
Source: RNAcentral